UACGUAGGGUGCAAGCGUUGUCCGGAAUUAUUGGGCGUAAAGAGCGUGUAGGCGGCUUGCUAAGUCUUGCGUGAAAUCUCGGGGCUCAACCCCGAGCGGUCGUGGGAAACUGGCAGGCUAGAGUGCGGGAGAGGAGAAUGGAAUUCCUGGUGUAGCGGUGAAAUGCGCAGAUAUCAGGAAGAACACCCGUGGCGAAGGCGGUUCUCUGGAACGCAACUGACGCUGAGACGCGAAAGCGUGGGGAGCAAACAGG
Molecule: ribosomal RNA, 253 nt
Filed under: uncultured bacterium
Lineage: Bacteria
Description: partial 16S ribosomal RNA
Rfam family: Bacterial small subunit ribosomal RNA
Source: RNAcentral